This 253-nucleotide ribosomal RNA is filed under the name uncultured bacterium. Its description in RNAcentral is "partial 16S ribosomal RNA". It matches the Rfam family "Bacterial small subunit ribosomal RNA", at positions 524 to 776 of the family's 1533-position model. The record is from RNAcentral.
UACGUAGGUGGCAAGCGUUGUCCGGAUUUACUGGGCGUAAAGGGCGUGCAGGCGGUUUGUUAAGUCUAGGGUGAAAGCUCCCGGCUCAACUGGGAGAGGUCCUUGGAUACUGGCCGACUUGAGGGAGGCAGAGGAGAGUGGAAUUCCCGGUGUAGUGGUGAUAUGCGUAGAUAUCGGGAGGAACACCAGUGGCGAAGGCGGCUCUCUGGGCCUUACCUGACGCUGAGACGCGAAAGCGUGGGGAGCGAACCGG